Mobula hypostoma (lesser devil ray) is the source of this 1037-nucleotide long non-coding RNA. RefSeq lists it as uncharacterized. The record is from RefSeq and is a predicted model, not a curated record. The transcript has 3 exons. Lineage: Eukaryota; Metazoa; Chordata; Chondrichthyes; Myliobatiformes; Myliobatidae.
UUGACGAGAAAAACUGUGGAAUGCAUUUUGAAAUUUAAAAAAGGUGCAUAACAAUGGGAAAGUCUCUAUUCACAAGAUCACACUGAUGCAAAGGAGUUUCAUUCUUCAAGGCAGGUUAGUUCAUUCUGAAAUUUCACUUUGAUAACAUCCCUCAAGGACUUCAAGUCCACUCCACAUAGAUUUUUUUGUUCAACACUACAGACCCUACUUCUACAAUUCAAUACCUAGACUCCCUGUGAAUCUUUUUUUUUAUCUUAUGAAUCAAUUCAAAUGCAAAUUAUUUAUAUAAAAACAAUUCAGAGCCAAAAUGGUUCUCCUUGCAUUGUUAUCAGGUCAGGAUUUACAGCUUCUUAAUUUUGAUGCAAAGUAAAUUCAAUUCAUAUCAUGUUUUAUUAUAUGCACCCCUAAUUCAGUCUCAAGUAUAUUCUCAGUAGAAUCCACAGCAAUACACUAUUCUGACUAGGGUACAGUAUAGAGAGGUACAAAAUGUUUUACAACACUUGCAAAACAGAGUUCUGGACCAUGACCUUCAAUAACAUGUGAUAUCACUCCUGCCUCUGAAUCAGAAGGUUACCGGUUUAUUCAGCCUCUGAAAGUUGAAUCAUUAAACAAGGGAUAAGGUACACUGCUGGAGCAUACUGAAAAGAAAGUGGCCAAUGUUAUGUUUGGGAUAUCACUGUAAAGAUUUGAUCAGCAAAACCAGAGAUGAUUAUCAUAUACAUGAGGAAUAAACCGGAGUUCCAUAAGCCAGUCCUCAUUAGGUGAAUGGAAGUGGAGAAGGGUUCUUUUGAAGACCCUGAGCUGGAGUUACACGCUGACUUCAGUUCUUUGUGGGAAUGGAACACGCUCUCAGGGUUUCAAGACUGGCCAUUAUUUGAUAUGCCAAGGAUGCGGCCUAAGAAAUUAGCUCGCCUUCAGAGUCCUGGGAUCUCAUGGCUCUGGAGACGGACGGACGUGUCCCAGCAGGAAAUCGGAGUGUCGUGAGAGACGGAAGAUCUCUGGCUGUGUGCUCAGUGACCCGAGAUCUUUGGGCACAG